UACGUAGGGACCGAGCGUUGUCCGGAAUUAUUGGGCGUAAAGAGCUCGUAGGCGGUCUGUCGCGUCGAUCGUGAAAACUUGGGGCUUAACCCUGAGCUUGCGGUCGAUACGGGCAUGACUGGAGUUCGGCAGGGGAGACUGGAAUUCCUGGUGUAGCGGUGAAAUGCGCAGAUAUCAGGAGGAACACCGGUGGCGAAGGCGGGUCUCUGGGCCGAUACUGACGCUGAGGAGCGAAAGCGUGGGGAGCGAACAGG
Molecule: ribosomal RNA, 254 nt
Filed under: uncultured bacterium
Lineage: Bacteria
Description: partial 16S ribosomal RNA
Rfam family: Bacterial small subunit ribosomal RNA
Source: RNAcentral